GUAGUGUUUCGCCAAAACCCAAGUCCGCGCUUGGCCGCUAGGGUUUCAGUUGCCUCUGAAAUUAGUCUAUUCACUUCAUUAGAAUUCCAUUGUUGUAUCUUUGUUUUGGUUUUUCUGGUUCAAUUCAAAUCGGGACAGUGAUGAUUCAUAUUGAUAAGGUCUCGUUCGUCGUAAUUGGCCGUGAAGGCCUUGCCGACCAUCCUGUUAUAUCACCACCCAUAUUCUGAGUCCCUUUCAUCUCAAUUUGAAAAAAUGUUUUGUUUUUUCAUAUCUUUGUGUUGUCAUCUGGUUAUUUUGAAAUUGGGUUUUUAUUUAUCAAAUUGCUUUUGGUGAUGCUGCAAAAGUCUUUGUGGGUUACUUCUCAGCCGAUGAUUAAAAGUAAAUAUUUAGACAAGCAUAUGUCUGAAUUAUUCUAUGUGGAACAACCUAAUCUUCUCUAUGAGGCUGAUCAUCUUCAUUUUCUGUGUGUUAGGAACAUGAAAUUUUGGAUUUUUCAUUUCGUUUGAAUUUAUGCCCUUGGAUUAGUAAGCAAAUGAGCAGUAUGAUUUGCACGUAGCUGCCUGUGAUGAGGAUAUGGUUUCGUGUAAUUUAUGACUAUCAGUGAUUACAUAUAUACCUCUACUGCCUUCCUUCUGAGGCUCAUAAUUUCUCUGUAUAUCUUACGUACUUGUUAGCUACAUGAGGGCUUUUUUUUUAAACGAUCUGAAAAAAAGUUGGUUAAUUUCAUUAUGGGUCGAGUGAUGAUCAAAUGCAUAGUUCAGCUGAUAUCUGCGUGAUUAAUGCAAUUUUAGUCUUUCGCUCCUAUCUGACGAUCCUUAUGAAUUAAUCUGUAGUUAUGGUUUUUGAACUUUCUAGUGUUUUCGAGUUUUAAAGUUGUUUUCUUGGAUACCAGGGAAAAUAUUUUGCUCUUCCGCUCUGGUAGCAAUGUGUACAAAAGCAUUGUUACUUGUGUUCAAAAUGGCCAGUGAUUUAAAUCUUUUUCUAGACAAGCAUAUGUCUGAAACUGUUGGUGCUGAUAAACUUAUUUCUAUGAGGCCUGUUCCUCUUGCCUUGAACUUACAUUGCCUAGUAAGAACAUGCUUACCUAAUCUCCUUAUGUAUGAGCUUUUGGUGGAGAUAUUUAAUAGGUUGUUAUUUGGCGGAUCUAGAUUUGUAGUUUUAGAUCGAACAAGUGGACUGUGAGGAUGUAUUAUUGGUCUCGUUCGUCGUAAUGGCUCUUGGGCCUUGCCGACUAGAGUGAUAUAUCACCACCCAUAGUCUGAGUCCUGUAAAACUAACUGUUGCUUUAGCAAUUUACUCUGUUUUGGUUGGUUACAAGCUUUCAAUGUUUGUUAAUGUUGCUUGAAAUUUUGCCCCAGUUUCUUAUUCAGGUUUCUGUUGUGCACGGUGAUGUACUCGAGACUUUUUAGAGGCCUUCUCCAGCGCCGGAAGAGACUAAAGCUGGCAUUGUUACAUUCUCUGUGGGAUGGUUUGGCCUGCUCCAAAUGCUGUUCUAGAUUCUCUUUCAAUUUGUUUUGUAUUUUUGGCCAUGGGCUUUGUUGUAAACCCAGAAAGAACAAAUUUACAUUUUCUUCUGAAAUAUAUAUGGAUGUUGAAGAAGUUUUGUGUACCAAAUGUUCUAUGGUUCAUAUGUUUUAUUCUUUAUGUUGCUUUGGUAUAUUCUCG
This 1665-nucleotide long non-coding RNA is filed under the name Prunus dulcis (almond). Its description in RNAcentral is "sRNA ncRNA". The stretch from base 133 to 231 matches the Rfam family "Small nucleolar RNA Z43". Lineage: Eukaryota; Viridiplantae; Streptophyta; Magnoliopsida; Rosales; Rosaceae. The record is from RNAcentral.